AGAACUCAAGAAAGACGAAUGGAAGCAUCUACUAAAGUUAGUCUACUAUGAAUGGAAUGAUAGUGAGUUUGUAAGGUGGCUAUUUAAUGUGUUAGGCAUAAUCCAGGACAAUCCAAAUAGCCAGAAAGAGAAUCUCCACUGCAUCCUUGUUGGCUCAAAGCGUUAAUAUAGGCGCACCCAGCAGGUAUGAGACAUCUGAGACAU
Long non-coding RNA from Telopea speciosissima, 204 nucleotides. RefSeq lists it as uncharacterized. NCBI's taxonomy places the organism in Eukaryota, Viridiplantae, Streptophyta, Magnoliopsida, Proteales, Proteaceae. The transcript has 3 exons. The record is from RefSeq and is a predicted model, not a curated record.